AUUGAACGCUGGCGGCAUGCUUUACACAUGCAAGUCGAACGGUAACGCGGGGCAACCUGGCGACGAGUGGCGAACGGGUGAGUAAUACAUCGGAACGUGCCCAGUAGUGGGGGAUAGCCCGGCGAAAGCCGGAUUAAUACCGCAUACGACCUACGGGUGAAAGCGGGGGAUCGCAAGACCUCGCGCUAUUGGAGCGGCCGAUGUCAGAUUAGCUAGUUGGUGGGGUAAAAGCCUACCAAGGCGACGAUCUGUAGCUGGUCUGAGAGGACGACCAGCCACACUGGGACUGAGACACGGCCCAGACUCCUACGGGAGGCAGCAGUGGGGAAUUUUGGACAAUGGGGGCAACCCUGAUCCAGCCAUGCCGCGUGCGGGAAGAAGGCCUCGGUUGUAA
This 394-nucleotide ribosomal RNA is filed under the name uncultured bacterium. RNAcentral describes it as "bacterial SSU rRNA". It matches the Rfam family "Bacterial small subunit ribosomal RNA", at positions 29 to 428 of the family's 1533-position model. The record is from RNAcentral.